Molecule: ribosomal RNA, 248 nt
Filed under: uncultured bacterium
Lineage: Bacteria
Description: partial 16S ribosomal RNA
Rfam family: Bacterial small subunit ribosomal RNA
Source: RNAcentral
UACGUAGGGUGCAAGCGUUGUCCGGAAUUAUUGGGCGUAAAGAGCUCGUAGGCGGUUUGUUGCGUCGGCUGUGAAAAUCCCGAGGCUCAACCUCGGGUCUGCAGUCGAUACGAGCAAACUAGAGUGUUGCAGGGGAGACUGGAAUUCCUGGUGUAGCGGUGAAAUGCGCAGAUAUCAGGAGGAACACCAACGGCGAAGGCAGCUCGCUAGGACGGUACUGACGCUGAGACGCGAAAGCGUGGGAGCGA